CUCCUAUAACCAGUGAGACUGGCUGUCUAGCCAAAACCGGUAUAAAAUAGAAUGGAUUAAGCUCUAGGAGCAGAAUACUUUAUUAGUAGAGACUAUCUGAGUACAGAUUCAAGUUAUUGUCUGUAUCCAAUACUGAAAAAUCAUGGGAACAAGGUAUCCUGCAUACAUUGAUGUGGAGUCGACUUUAAACCUCUCUCCCUGUAAUAUAUUUAAUGAGAUUACCAAGACAGAGUUUCCUGUAGAUCUACAUGAAGUUGUCAGUAAACAAGUGACUAGCAUCAAACAGUUCGUCAAUGGACAAAGUGAAGAUAAAACACUUGAUGCAUAUGUAACAGUGAAAUUGUACAAUAUCAACUCUACAAAUGACCGGUCAAACGUUGAACGCUAUGUAACUAUUGUCCAACAAGCUGUGCAAAAAGUGGUCAAUUGCAACGUGGUGGUGAAGCCAAUAUACAAUAAAGAUUCGGAUGCAAAUGCACUGGAUGCUGAGGCUGGUGGUUGUGCUAAGGCUAACGAAUUCUUUAUCAGCUUCACGGAAGAUGUUGUUCCUUCUUUUACACAUGUUCCCCAAUAUAAUAUUGAUUACCCUCAUCCCCAACAAUAAUAAAAUUACUACACGCAUGCAUGCAGUACAGCUUUAGUCUUGACCCAAAAUCUGCAUGCAAAUCAGACUGAGUAUGUUUUUAUCAUUUUGUUGUGACAGUAAUGCGUGCCGGUGUGAUUGAUUCAACAUUUUCUUUUGUGAAA
Halichondria panicea is the source of this 747-nucleotide long non-coding RNA. RefSeq lists it as uncharacterized. The record is from RefSeq and is a predicted model, not a curated record. Lineage: Eukaryota; Metazoa; Porifera; Demospongiae; Suberitida; Halichondriidae. The transcript has 3 exons.